AAACGCUUGAAGUCAGUCGCGUUGUCUGAGACUCAGCCCUUGCUAGCUUCUUGCUGGGUGUACUUCUCAGUUUAACGGGUCAACAUCAAUUUCAGUUGAUGGAUAAAGGUUUAUUGGGAAUGUGGCACCUCCGGGUGUGUUAUAACCUUUAGCUGUAUACAGUGGUUGGGACUGAGGCUCUCAGCACGCCUUUAUGGCUGGGUUUCGACCACAUACGUGCUUAGGAUGUUGGCAUAAUAGCUUUAAGCGA
RNAcentral lists this ribosomal RNA (250 nucleotides) under Corticiales sp. RNAcentral's name for it is "partial large subunit ribosomal RNA". The record is from RNAcentral. Lineage: Eukaryota; Fungi; Basidiomycota; Agaricomycetes; Corticiales.